UACGUAGGGGGCAAGCGUUGUCCGGAAUCAUUGGGCGUAAAGCGCGUGUAGGCGGUCCGGUAAGUCCGCUGUGAAAGUCACAGGCUCAACCUGUGAAUGCCGCUGGAAACUGUCUGGCUUGAGUCCGGAAGGGGCGAGUGGAAUUCCUGGUGUAGCGGUGAAAUGCGCAGAUAUCAGGAGGAACACCGAUGGCGAAGGCAGCUCGCUGGAACGGUACUGACGCUGAGGCGCGAAAGCGUGGGGAGCGAACAGG
Molecule: ribosomal RNA, 253 nt
Filed under: uncultured bacterium
Lineage: Bacteria
Description: partial 16S ribosomal RNA
Rfam family: Bacterial small subunit ribosomal RNA
Source: RNAcentral